GACGAACGCUGGCGGCGUGCUUAACACAUGCAAGUCGAACGGAAGGGCCCUGCUUUUGUGGGGUGCUCGAGUGGCGAACGGGUGAGUAACACGUGAGUAACCUGCCCUUGACUUUGGGAUAACUUCAGGAAACUGGGGCUAAUACCGGAUAGGAGCUCCUGCUGCAUGGUGGGGGUUGGAAAGUUUCGGCGGUUGGGGAUGGACUCGCGGCUUAUCAGCUUGUUGGUGGGGUAGUGGCUUACCAAGGCUUUGACGGGUAGCCGGCCUGAGAGGGUGACCGGCCACAUUGGGACUGAGAUACGGCCCAGACUCCUACGGGAGGCAGCAGUGGGGAAUAUUGCACAAUGGGCGGAAGACUGAUGCAGCAACGCCGCGUGCGGGAUGACGGCCUUCGGGUUGUAAACCGCUUUCGCCUGUGACGAAGCGUGAGUGACGGUAAUGGGUAAAGAAGCACCGGCUAACUACGU
RNAcentral lists this ribosomal RNA (467 nucleotides) under uncultured bacterium. RNAcentral describes it as "partial 16S ribosomal RNA". It matches the Rfam family "Bacterial small subunit ribosomal RNA", at positions 28 to 506 of the family's 1533-position model. The record is from RNAcentral.